AAAUGUUCUUUUAUGACAUCACACCACUUGAAUUUCAUUAUUUAUUACUUCAUAUCUUCAAUGGUUGUAGAAAGGUAUGAGUUGAUUUAUUCCAAAGAGCUGUUCCUUACGACCGUGUGGAACCAGACAUUGAUUAACUAGUCAUUUACGUGGAUAUCGUAAAAGCAUUCUUAAUCACACAUAUAGAACAAGAUGGAUGCUGGUUGAAGGGUGUCCAGACAAUGUUACGUACGGUACAUCUUAUAAUAUGGAUGGAGGAUGUGGGAUGUGCAUAUGUAAUGCACCCGACAAUUCAUCCGCAUUGUCAACUUCACAACCAACGUGGAACUGUUAUACGUGCCCCCCAAUGUUUAUUGUGAACUGUACCGAAAUGGAGGUAGUGAACCCCCUUGCAGACUACCCGGAUUGUUGUGAGAAAAGGUGUAAAACCGAAUAAACACAGAACAGAUUUCUUUAUUUCGUUGAAAAGAUUAUAAAGUCUGACUUUAAAUUCGUUAUAAUAAAUUCUCUGCAUGAAUAAAUUGAAUUAAUUAUGAUAA
Long non-coding RNA from Octopus bimaculoides (California two-spot octopus), 539 nucleotides. The record is from RefSeq and is a predicted model, not a curated record. Lineage: Eukaryota; Metazoa; Mollusca; Cephalopoda; Octopoda; Octopodidae.